CACGACUACCCAGCGUGCAUCGUAAACAGUAAACACGGCCGCGUGUGAUAGCGAUAUUGAAUAUUUUGAGCGUCCUAAAGUCAAUGUUUUAAAAGAAUUUGGUACGAAACGGGGAUACAGUGCUGCUGGGAAGAGAAAGAAAGAACUCGUGGCCCUCGCUUGGGCGUUUUCACUACAAAAAGCCCCUAUAGUUUUAACAAAACAGCAGGAGCGGGAGGCUAUGCUACCUUGGAUAUAAGUCUCUGCUCGAGAUCGAGACUGACAGUUGUCAGAUGACAAUUCCAGAUCCCUUAGAGCUGAGAGAAGAAUGCCGUUGUGUGUGGCAUAAGAUCUGCCUCCAGACAUCUUCAGAAGACUGGGAUAUGUCCGACGGUGAUGUCUCAUCUGAUGAAGAAUACAUCCCAAAUUCUGCAUCAGAUUCAGAAAGCUCAGGAACAGAGUUGUCUAUUGAGUUACCUGGACCAUCA
Molecule: long non-coding RNA, 467 nt
Organism: Oreochromis aureus
Lineage: Eukaryota; Metazoa; Chordata; Actinopteri; Cichliformes; Cichlidae
Source: Ensembl